GUCUGACGGACACGCCGCGUGAGCGAUGAAGGCCUUCGGGUCGUAAAGCUCUGUUGUUAGGGAAGAACAAGUGCUAGUUGAAUAAGCUGGCACCUUGACGGUACCUAACCAGAAAGCCACGGCUAACUACGUGCCAGCAGCCGCGGUAAUACGUAGGUGGCAAGCGUUAUCCGGAAUUAUUGGGCGUAAAGCGCGCGCAGGUGGUUUCUUAAGUCUGAUGUGAAAGCCCACGGCUCAACCGUGGAGGGUCAUUGGAAACUGGGAGACUUGAGUGCAGAAGAGGAAAGUGGAAUUCCAUGUGUAGCGGUGAAAUGCGUAGAGAUAUGGAGGAACACCAGUGGCGAAGGCGACUUUCUGGUCUGCAACUGACACUGAGGCGCGAAAGCGUGGGGAGCAAACAGGAUUAGAUACCCUGGUAGUCCACGCCGUAAACGAUGAGUGCUAAGUGUUAGAGGGUUUCCGCCCUUUAGUGCUGAAGUUAACGCAUUAAGCACUCCGCC
This 500-nucleotide ribosomal RNA is filed under the name Bacillus mycoides. Its description in RNAcentral is "bacterial SSU rRNA". It matches the Rfam family "Bacterial small subunit ribosomal RNA", at positions 381 to 873 of the family's 1533-position model. The record is from RNAcentral. Lineage: Bacteria; Bacillati; Bacillota; Bacilli; Caryophanales; Bacillaceae.